GACGAACGCUGGCGGCGUGCUUAACACAUGCAAGUCGAACGAUGACGACCGAGCUUGCUCGGUCUGAUUAGUGGCGAACGGGUGAGUAACACGUGAGCAACCUGCCCUUCACUCUGGGAUAACCUCGGGAAAUCGGGGCUAAUACCGGAUAUGAGCUCCUGUCGCAUGGCGGGUGUUGGAAAGUUUUUCGGUGGAGGAUGGGCUGGCGGGCUAUCGGUUUGUUGGUGGGGUAGUGGCUCACCAAGGCGUUGACGGGUAGCCGGCCUGGGAGGGCGACCGGCCCCGUUGGGACUAAGAGAAGGCCCAGCCUGAUACGGGAGGCAGGAGGGGGGAAUCGUGCACAAGGGGCGAAAGCCUGAUGCAGCGACGCGGGGGGGGGGAGGAAGGCCUUCGGGUUGAAAACCUCUUUCGCCUGGGAAGAAGCGUGAGUGAAGGUACUGAAUAAAGAAGCCCCGGCUAACUACGUG
RNAcentral lists this ribosomal RNA (467 nucleotides) under uncultured bacterium. Its description in RNAcentral is "partial 16S ribosomal RNA". It matches the Rfam family "Bacterial small subunit ribosomal RNA", at positions 28 to 507 of the family's 1533-position model. The record is from RNAcentral.